UACAGAGGGCCCAAGCGUUGUUCGGAUUUACUGGGCGUAAAGGGUGCGUAGGCGGCGCGGUAAGUCGGGUGUGAAAUCUCGGGGCUUAACUCCGAAACUGCAUUCGAUACUACCGUGCUUGAGGACUGGAGAGGAGACUGGAAUUUACGGUGUAGCGGUGAAAUGCGUAGAUAUCGUAAGGAAGACCAGUGGCGAAGGCGGGUCUCUGGGCAGUUCCUGACGCUGAGGCACGAAGGCCAGGGGAGCAAACGGG
This 253-nucleotide ribosomal RNA is filed under the name uncultured bacterium. Its description in RNAcentral is "partial 16S ribosomal RNA". It matches the Rfam family "Bacterial small subunit ribosomal RNA", at positions 524 to 776 of the family's 1533-position model. The record is from RNAcentral.